This 253-nucleotide ribosomal RNA is filed under the name uncultured bacterium. Its description in RNAcentral is "partial 16S ribosomal RNA". It matches the Rfam family "Bacterial small subunit ribosomal RNA", at positions 524 to 776 of the family's 1533-position model. The record is from RNAcentral.
UACGUAGGGUGCGAGCGUUAAUCGGAAUUACUGGGCGUAAAGCGUGCGCAGGCGGUUCGCUGUGUCUGCGGUGAAAGCCCCGGGCUCAACCUGGGAAUGGCCGUGGAAACUGGCGGGCUGGAGUGUGGCAGAGGGGGGUGGUAUUCCGCGUGUAGCAGUGAAAUGCGUAGAGAUGCGGAGGAACACCGAUGGCGAAGGCAACCCCCUGGGCUGACACUGACGCUCAGGCACGAAAGCGUGGGGAGCAAACAGG